CAGUCGCCACGGUAAUACGUAGGGUGCAAGCGUUAAUCGGAAUUACUGGGCGUAAAGCGUGCGUAGGCGGUGAGUUAAGUCUGCUGUGAAAUCCCCGGGCUCAACCUGGGAAUGGCAGUGGAUACUGGCUCGCUAGAGUGUGUCAGAGGAUGGUGGAAUUCCCGGUGUAGCGGUGAAAUGCGUAGAGAUCGGGAGGAACAUCAGUGGCGAAGGCGGCCAUCUGGGACAACACUGACGCUGAGGCACGAAAGCGUGGGGAGCAAACAGGAUUAGAUACCCCCGUAGUCCCUGUCUCUUAUAC
This 301-nucleotide ribosomal RNA is filed under the name uncultured bacterium. RNAcentral describes it as "partial 16S ribosomal RNA". It matches the Rfam family "Bacterial small subunit ribosomal RNA", at positions 509 to 807 of the family's 1533-position model. The record is from RNAcentral.